GCGGCCCUGAGUCACCGGUUGGAGAUGCGCGACCCCGGCCCGGGCCCGCGCUGCGGAGCCGCCUUUCUGGACUGCGCUCUGAACUGAGCUCUGGAACAGGGUUUAAGAAAAAGAAGGGUUGCCGAGAGAUGACCUCCAGGGUCCCUCCAGCUGUGCCAUUUUGGACUUCCAGUUGUCUCCCUUGUCACAGUGCUCUCAGGCAUGGUCCCCUUCUCUUUAAAGCUGCUGAAGCCAGCACUCAGGUACAGAAAGGAGUCCAGAAAAGUUAAGUGAUUGGUCCAAAGACACACAGCUGAUGACCACAACCAGAACCCAGGUCACCAACCCACUCCUCUGAUCCUCCAACACACUAUACAACUGAGUUUAGGAAAAAGCAAAAUAUAAAGUCCAUAGACUAUACUGCCAUCACCCCCACCAACCAAAUAAAUGUACCUUCUUUAAAACUACCUGUGUCUCAAUCUCCUAUUUCUUUUCAGCCCUGUUAGCUUACUAAGCUCAAAUUUUGGAUUCUUAUCCAGCACUUAAUAGAUACCCUGGUGGUCUGAGUAGUCAGAAUCCCAACUCUGCCCCAGCAUGUUGCAGCCUGAGAAGGGAGAUCUCUGGGAAACAGGAGUAGAAUACAACUAGCCUCUCCAA
Long non-coding RNA from Physeter macrocephalus (sperm whale), 636 nucleotides. RefSeq lists it as uncharacterized. NCBI's taxonomy places the organism in Eukaryota, Metazoa, Chordata, Mammalia, Artiodactyla, Physeteridae. The transcript is spliced from 3 exons. The record is from RefSeq and is a predicted model, not a curated record.